GGUUGUGGCUCAGUGGUAGAGUGCUUGCCUUGCACAUGUAAGGCCCUGGGUUUGAUCCUCAGCACCA
Molecule: transfer RNA, 67 nt
Filed under: Marmota monax (woodchuck)
Lineage: Eukaryota; Metazoa; Chordata; Mammalia; Rodentia; Sciuridae
Description: tRNA.Ala
Source: RNAcentral